This 425-nucleotide ribosomal RNA is filed under the name uncultured bacterium. RNAcentral's name for it is "bacterial SSU rRNA". It matches the Rfam family "Bacterial small subunit ribosomal RNA", at positions 355 to 772 of the family's 1533-position model. The record is from RNAcentral.
UGGGGAAUUUUGGACAAUGGGGGCAACCCUGAUCCAGCCAUUCCGCGUGAGUGAAGAAGGCCUUCGGGUUGUAAAGCUCUUUUGUCCGGAACGAAACGGAUACGUCUAAUACGCGUGUCUACUGACGGUACCGGAAGAAUAAGCACCGGCUAACUCUGUGCCAGCAGCCGCGGUAAUACAGAGGGUGCAAGCGUUAAUCGGAUUUACUGGGCGUAAAGCGUGAGUAGGUGGCUCGCUAAGUCGGUUGUGAAAGCCCUGGGCUCAACCUGGGAAUUGCAGUCGAUACUGGCAAGCUAGAGUUCGGUAGAGGGUGGCGGAAUUCCCGGUGUAGCGGUGAAAUGCGUAGAUAUCGGGAGGAGCAUCGAUGGCGAAGGCAACCACCUGGGCCUGAACUGACACUGAGACACGAAAGCGUGGGUAGCAAA